RNAcentral lists this long non-coding RNA (209 nucleotides) under Medicago truncatula (barrel medic). Its description in RNAcentral is "lncRNA gene15956". Lineage: Eukaryota; Viridiplantae; Streptophyta; Magnoliopsida; Fabales; Fabaceae. The record is from RNAcentral.
AUGGAGCUUACAAAUGAAUCACCAAUGGCUUCAACAGCUUGCAUCCUCUCUUCAUGCAUAUCUUCUGUCAUAAGAGAAACCUGUGUGUAUGGGGCAUGCAUACUUUGAUAUGACUUGAGAAGCAUCAUAGAAUCAACAAUACCAGCUGAACCUCUCCUAGUAAAGUUUGAAGAUUUUUUGUCUUUAUACAGGUCCAUAUCUUCAGGUUU